Oncorhynchus kisutch (coho salmon) is the source of this 1562-nucleotide long non-coding RNA. RefSeq lists it as uncharacterized. The record is from RefSeq and is a predicted model, not a curated record. Lineage: Eukaryota; Metazoa; Chordata; Actinopteri; Salmoniformes; Salmonidae. The transcript is spliced from 2 exons.
AGAGGAAAAUGGAAGUCAAUGGUGAAGCAAGAGCUAGAGGUGAAGGAGUGAGAGUAAGAGGAAUACGAGGAAGGACAGUUGUCUCAGAUGAGAUCAGGGCCACAUUGGUUGACCAUGUGCUCAACCAUGGGUUGAGUAUGAGGGAGGCUGGGCAGAGUUCAGCCCAACCUGAGCCGCUACAUGGUUGCAUUUAUCAUUCAGAAAUGAGAACCGAACUGAUAGACGGCCAGGCCGUGGUGGAAGACACCAGCUGUUCACACCAGAACAGCAGACCGCUAUUGUGAACAUGGUGGUGGCAAACAAUACCAUUUAGACUACGAGAAAUCCAGAACCACAACUGCAGACAUUGGCCAUUGUGAAUGUCCCUGGACAGUGUGGAGGGAAUAUCACCAUGUACGCAGCCUUGAGCCAGCAAGGUGUCCUCCAUCACCAUGCCAACCUCGGUCUCUACAACACCGCCCUUCUCAUUCCUGGACACACUACAUGGCAUCCUCAUUCCAGCUGAGCAUAGUGGUGGACCAGAGCAAUGUCAGUAAUGUCAUCUGGAACAACGUGAGUUUCCACCGGGUUGCUCUAGUCCGCAACUGGUUCAUCGACCACCCACAAUUUAUUGUUCUAUACCUCCCACCAUAUUCCCCAUUCCUAAACCCAAUUGAAUAGUUUUUUUCGUCAUGGCGAUAGGUGUGUGACCGCCAUCCCCUCGCACGCAUGCCUCUUCUCCAGGCAAUGGAGGAUGCAUGUGGUGAAGUUGAUGUGGGGGCUUUCGGUGGCUGGAUCUGUAACUCCAGAAGAUUCUUUCCCUGCUGUUUAGCCAGGGAGACCAUCGCUUGUGAUGUAGAUGAGAAGCUGUGGCCAGACCAAAAUAGUUUUUUUAUGCAUUUUGCAUGUGUUUUUGUGUUUAGAGUUUUGAAAGAAUGAGCCACUUUCAUUUUUGUACAGAAAACCAUUUAUUUUACUGAAUGUUUUUCCUGGUUUUCUCCUGUUGGGUAUGGAAAGUGUUACAUGCAAAACACAAAUCACUGUUUUUGUAUUGCAUUUGUGUGUGUGUGUGUUUAUUUAUGUAUAUUUGAGUAGGUAUACAUUACUGUAACAAUAUUUUACAACCGGCUACAGCUUAACACUGAAAAUGCAAAAGGCAUAAACCUACUGAUGGGAAAUUCAUAGUAGUGUUUUGUGUUGAGCACAUCAGUGUGUUGUUGGUUGGUAGACAGAUCUAUUCAAAAAAACAUUAUGGAAAGAGAAAACAGUUGUCAAGUUCUGACCUUAGUUCCUUUUUUGUGUUAGCUUGGUCAGGGCGUGAGUUGGGGUGGGUAGUCGAUGUUCCUUUUUCUAGGUUGUUAUAUUUCUAUGUGUUUGGCCUAAUAUGGUUCUCAAUCAGAGGCAGGUGUCGUCCGUUGUCUCUGCUUGAGAAUCAUACUUAGGUAGCCUGUUUUCUCCAUUUUGGUUGUGUGUUUGCUUUCUGUUUUUGUGUCUUCACCAGACAGAACUGUUUCGGUUGUUCACUGCGUUUUGUUUAUCUGUGUUCAGUUCCAUUAUUAAACGGAUGAAUACGUACCACGCUG